Molecule: ribosomal RNA, 424 nt
Filed under: Verrucomicrobiota bacterium
Lineage: Bacteria; Pseudomonadati; Verrucomicrobiota
Description: Verrucomicrobia bacterium partial 16S ribosomal RNA
Rfam family: Bacterial small subunit ribosomal RNA
Source: RNAcentral
UGAGGAAUAUUGGUCAAUGGGCGAGAGCCUGAACCAGCCAAGUAGCGUGCAGGAUGACGGCCCUAUGGGUUGUAAACUGCUUUUAUCUGGGAAUAAAGUGAGGGACGUGUCCCUUAUUGCAUGUACCAUACGAAUAAGGACCGGCUAAUUCCGUGCCAGCAGCCGCGGUAAUACGGAAGGUCCAGGCGUUAUCCGGAUUUAUUGGGUUUAACGGGAGCGUAGGCUGUUUGUUAAGCGUGUUGUGAAAUGUAAGAGCUCAACUUUUAGAUUGCAGCGCGAACUGGCAGACUUGAGUGCGCACAACGUAGGCGGAAUUCAUGGUGUAGCGGUGAAAUGCUUAGAUAUCAUGACGAACUCCGAUUGCGAAGGCAGCUUACGGGAGCGCAACUGACGCUAAAGCUCGAAGGGGCGGGUAUCGAACAGG